Molecule: long non-coding RNA, 495 nt
Filed under: Nicotiana tabacum (common tobacco)
Lineage: Eukaryota; Viridiplantae; Streptophyta; Magnoliopsida; Solanales; Solanaceae
Description: long non-coding RNA (NTAB_LNC019100)
Source: RNAcentral
UUGUGUGUCAUUCAUCUCAAGUAUUCUCUGAAAAUAGAAUGUGGUAAUUUCUCAUAUCAAAAUCUCUUAAAAUCUGUUUAGUUUUGAUUAUCGUAUUGAUUUUGAUUAUUCAAAUGAGUUAUUGCUCUAGAAUCAUAUAUAAUAACCACUUAUGUAUAUGUGUUUUUCCUGAUCAUUAUUGUUUGUAUUAUUGCAGCCCCUAUGCACGUUGAUGUUUGAUUUUUGAAGUAUAUAUACUUACACUUGAUGAAUAUGAACUUUAUUGUGGUAAGUGGUUAGGCCAUUGUUAGAAUUGUAUUAACGGUAAAAUUGUUUAACCACUUUGUAGUCGAGCUUUAUAGUUCUUGUUUUACAGGGUUUGAAGACUUUCAAGAGAUGCAGUUUUGAAGACAUAAUAUGUUCACGAGUUGGCUAUCAUUUUGCUAUGACUAUUGCUAGGACUAUUAGUGUUUUGCACUAAGCGAUUGUGUAAACAAUAUUAUGACAUAUGUAUCA